This 478-nucleotide ribosomal RNA is filed under the name uncultured Pelotomaculum sp. RNAcentral describes it as "bacterial SSU rRNA". It matches the Rfam family "Bacterial small subunit ribosomal RNA", at positions 907 to 1382 of the family's 1533-position model. The record is from RNAcentral. Lineage: Bacteria; Bacillati; Bacillota; Clostridia; Eubacteriales; Desulfotomaculaceae.
AGAAUUGACGGGGCCCGCACAAGCGGUGGAGCAUGUGGUUUAAUUCGACGCAACGCGAAGAACCUUACCAGGGCUUGACAUCCCCUGACCGCGUAUGAAAGUACGUUUUCACCCUCGGGUGACAGGGAGACAGGUGGUGCAUGGUUGUCGUCAGCUCGUGUCGUGAGAUGUUGGGUUAAGUCCCGCAACGAGCGCAACCCCUACGUUUAGUUGCUAACGCGUGAAGGCGAGCACUCUAGACGAACUGCCGUUGACAAAACGGAGGAAGGUGGGGAUGACGUCAAAUCAUCAUGCCCCUUAUGUUCUGGGCUACACACGUGCUACAAUGGCCGGUACAGACGGACGCAAAGCCGCGAGGUGGAGCAAAUCCUAAAAAGCCGGUCUCAGCUCGGAUUGCAGGCUGCAAUUCGCCUGCAUGAAGUCGGAAUCGCUAGUAAUCGCAGGUCAGCAUACUGCGGUGAAUACGUUCCCGGGCCUU